Molecule: ribosomal RNA, 371 nt
Filed under: uncultured bacterium
Lineage: Bacteria
Description: bacterial SSU rRNA
Rfam family: Bacterial small subunit ribosomal RNA
Source: RNAcentral
UAGGGAAUAUUGGGCAAUGGAGGGAACUCUGACCCAGCCAUGCCGCGUGCAGGAUGAAGGCGUUAUGCGUUGUAAACUGCUUUUAUAUAGGAAGAAAUAGUCCUUGCGAGGAAAGUUGACGGUACUAUAUGAAUAAGCACCGGCUAACUCCGUGCCAGCAGCCGCGGUAAUACGGAGGGUGCAAGCGUUGUCCGGAUUUAUUGGGUUUAAAGGGUGCGUAGGCGGUUUAUUAAGUCAGUGGUGAAAGACGGUCGCUCAACGAUUGCAGUGCCAUUGAUACUGGUAGACUUGAGUAUGAUUGAGGUAGCUGGAAUGGAUAGUGUAGCGGUGAAAUGCAUAGAUAUUAUCCAGAACACCAAUUGCGUAGGCAA